GAUGAACGCUGGCGGCGUGCCUAAUACAUGCAAGUCGAACGCAUUGUGGUUGAAAUGAUAUGAAGAACUUGUUCAGAUUUGAUUUUCAACAUUGCAAUGAGUGGCGAACGGGUGAGUAACACGUGGGAAACCUACCUCUUAGCAGGGGAUAACAUUUGGAAACAAAUGCUAAUACCGUAUAAUAAUUAAAACCGCAUGGUUUUAGUUUAAAGAUGGUCUUGCUAUCACUAAGAGAUGGUCCCGCGGUGUAUUAGUUAGUUGGUGAGGUAAUGGCUCACCAAGACAAUGAUACAUAGCCGAGUUGAGAGACUGACCGGCCACAAUGGGACUGAGACACGGUCCCAUACUCCUACGGGAGGCAGCAGUAGGGAAUCUUCCACAAUGGACGAAAGUCUGAUGGAGCAACGCGCGUGUGUGAUGAAGGUUUCGGCUCGUAAACACUGUUGUAAGAGAAGAUGACAUCGAGAGUAACUGUUC
RNAcentral lists this ribosomal RNA (477 nucleotides) under uncultured bacterium. RNAcentral describes it as "bacterial SSU rRNA". It matches the Rfam family "Bacterial small subunit ribosomal RNA", at positions 28 to 469 of the family's 1533-position model. The record is from RNAcentral.